AAAAAGACACAAAGUUUACGCAACCAACUAAAGAACAACAACUAUACUGAACUAAAGUUAGAGAAAAUACGAUAAGCACAUAAGCAAAAAGGUCGAUAACCAUAGCAUAUAGAUCUCAAUUAGUAACUUAAUACAUGGAAAUAAACAAACCGAUCUUAACAUAAUAUUAGGCAAAAGCUUCAGAACUAUGAUUAACUUCAGUCUAAUAGAUAGCGUUAAACAAAACACUUGAACAGUUGAGAGGAAGAAAAGAAGAUAAGUUGAUUCAUAAAACUUGUUAAGCCAAUAAACAAAGAUAUAACAACACUGUUGAACGAAUAAGCCACAGAUCAAGGGCUUGAACUUGUGAAUACUGAUGAAAAUGUAGAAAAAGAAACAAAGUUUACGCAACCAACUAAAGAACAGCAACAAUAUUGAACUAAAGUUAGAGAAAACGCGAUAAGGACAUAAGCAAAAAGGUCGAUAACCAUAGCAUAUAGAUCCCAAUUAGUUACUCAAUACAUGGAACUAAACAAACCGAUCUUUGCAUAGUGUUAAGCAAAAGCUUCAGAUCUAUGAUUAACUUCAGUCUAAUAGAUAGCGUUAAACAAAGUACUUGGACAGUUGAGAGGAAGAAAAGAAGAUAAGUUGAUCCAUAAAACUUGUUAAGCCAAUAAACAAAGAUAUAACAACAAUGUUAAACGAAUAAGCCACAGAUCAAGGGCUUGAACUUGUGAAUACUGAUGAAAAUGUAGAAAAAGAAACAAAGUUUACGCAACCAACUAAAGAACAACAACAAUAUUGAACUAGAGUUAGAGAAAACGCGAUAAACACAUAUGCAAAAAGGUAGAUAACCAUAGCAUAUAGAUCCCAAAUAGUUACUUAAUACAUGGAAAUAAACAAACCGAUCUUAACAUAAUAUGUUAAGCAAAAGCUUCAGAACUACGAUUAACUUCAUUCUAAUUGAUAGUGUUAAACAAAAGCUUCAUAACUACGAUUAACUUCAGUCCUAAUAGAUAGUUAGAUCACGAGAUAGCCGAUAGGAAUAAUCAAAGAGGACUACCAACUUAAAGGUGAUGCCAGGGAUUCUUUUAGUCUUCUGCGGUCCUCCCGGAGCAAGUUUCUACUCUCUUCAAUGCCAUACAAGGUCGCAUAAGGUGGGGAGCGAAUGCAAGCUGGAGCAUUCAACCAGAGAUCGCUACGAAAACAGAGCAAAAAAUCACAAUAAACAUUAAACCUUGUUGUUAAGUAUUGUUUCAUAAAGCAUAUUAUAUUGUAUUGUUAAGUGAAUACAAAGUUUAAAUAGAUCAAAAAAAAUAAAAAUCACAUUCCAAUUUACCAGUUUAAAUCUGAUUUGUGGUUCGAAUUAAUUGUUAUCUUCCAAACGAAGAUUGUACACAAUAACAAUCAUCUAAAAAAAAAAAAAACUCACUUUUCGCUGCAUCCGAAUCUGAGGAGGUCAUGGAUGCUCUGAAACAUCAACAAAUUUGAAUAGAAAAUCAGUUACAGAAAUCAGUGAUUAAAAACAAAGCAAAAUAGAGUAUAAUCACCUCUUUGGGAUGCAGAGUGUUUUUGCGAGACAGUUUCAAAGGCCGACGAGCUUUAACAACCUCAUCCUAAGUAUUUUUAAAAAGGGGGAAAAAUCAGAUUAAAAUUGAAGAAGAACUCUAUAUCAGAGAUGAAAUCGAAAAGUAGAAAACCUGUUGAUUCUCUAUCUUCUGUUGAUUCUCCGUCUUCUGUUUCUUAUCAAUGUGAUGUUCUUCAUUCUGUUCCUGCUUCUCCUUCUCCCUCUCCAUUGAUGCCCGUUCCAUUUCUAUUGUGCCUUUUGUUGUAAAGUGGAGACGAAACAAAAUAAAAAAAAACCUUGGAAUAGGUUGGGCCUCCGAGGUAUAAAGUAUAAUAAUUUCAAGAUAAAAUAUAGGAUUAUUUUAGUUUAUCGGGAAUUUUCAUAAUUAACAAAUACUAAGAUUCCUUAACUACAGUUUCACUCAUUAUAAUUUAUAGCUACACUUUGGUUUUUCUAUGCAUUUGUGUUCGUUGUAUUUUUUUGUGGAUUUCAGAGGAAAAAAAGACAAAUACAAAUUGAUUUGUAUCAAAAUGAAUAUAUAUUAGGAGGAGAGAGACAAGUAAGAUCGAGAGAGGCGAACGAGAUCGAGAGAGGGAAGGAGAGAGACGAGCGAGAUCGAGAGAGGGAAGGAGAGGAUGAAUGCAUGUUGUAUUCAUUGUAUUACGAAUACAAUUGAUACAUAAUACAAAUGCAGUUAAUACAAAAUGCAUAUAUGUGUAUCCAUUUUAUGAAAUUUCUUGGUAAACAUGUGUAUUCAUUUGUCUUAAACACGUGAAUUUUAUUCAUCUUCUUCUCAUUUCCCUCUUAUUUGGUGUGUAGAAUUAUAACGUUUUCUUGCCUUGUUCAUCAGUUGUUAUGAAUGCAGUAAAAAAACCGAGUCUUAAAUAUUCAAUAAGUAUAAUGUUUAUGUAGCGUAAUUUCUACCUAACUAAAUCCUACAUAAAUAAUACCUGCAUAAUUAAUAUUUACAUAGCUAAUAUUUGCAUAACAAAUACGUGCAUAACUCUAACUAGUAACCAAACAAUCCUUAGAUGGUUAGAUCACGAGAUAACCGAUAGGAAUAAUCAAAGUUAACAUAGAAAAGUUUAAAUAUUUUUGUAGGUACACAUAUACAUAAUGCCAAACAUGGAUAAAACGGUAUAAAAGUGUGCUCUAGCUAAUGAUUCAAGAUCAAAAGAAUAACUGGAACAAGGGUAUCAAACUUCUUAGAAAUGAUUUUCUAACAUUUGAUUACAUACCAUUGAAUGAUUUACUUGUACACCUGAAAGAUAGCUCAUAAAAUAACGAAAAUAAUUGGAUAAUUAGUUUAUAUGAAUUCUUUUUAUGUGAAAGCAUAUAGAAAAAUGACACUGUCAAUUUAUCAAUUUCACUUUAGUCAUUGUGUCAAAGGGAAAUCACUUCGUCAGGAGCAAUUUUGCCCUUUUGAUUUUAAAAAAAUUUGAUGUGCCCUUCUGGAAUUUUUGACAAUUUUUUUUGCCCUUUUGGCUCUAAACUCGGAAAAUCAUAAAGCAAAAUUACAACCAAAAAAAAGUGGGACAAAAUAAUGUAUUAUCAAAUCACCAAGAAAUAAGGCAUAGAAUAGACACUUUAACUUGACUUCAACAGAUAACUAAGAGAAUGCACAUCUAUACACUUUAACUCAUUCCCAAUUGUAUCUCGUAUACACUCGAAGUUGAUGUAACAUGUGAGUUUUGAAAGUGCCUAGAUGAUCAUUUUCUAAGUUGGAGUGUUCAACUAACACAAUGGAACACGUUGAGGUGUUUAGAUGCUAGUUUCUUGUUGAAGUCAAGAUAAAAUGUCUAUUUUAUGUAUUAUGCCAAAAAAUUAUUACAAAUACGUGCAUUAUACUUUACUGAAGAAUAAUUAGGUUGCAUUCAACAACAAUUAAAAUAAAUAGCUCAUUAUUUGAUUUUUGUUAUUGCUUCUUGUUUUUUCUAAAUGCUGUGUUAUGCUUUUUCUGUUAUUUGUUAUGUAUAUUUGGCGUUACUCGAGUCGAUAAAAACAAUCUCUCGCUCUCUACCUCCACGAGGUAAGGGUAAGAUUACGUACACUUUAUCUUUCUCAUACCUUGCUUAUAAAAUUAUACUAGAUGCCUCGGCAUUAUUUGAGAAUACUAUUUGCUAAGAAUAUCAUAUUUGAUGUAAUUGGUUAUACAAAUAAUUAAAACUUGCUCCUGUAAUUCCAGAAUUUUUACUGGGGUAUUCUAAUUAAGAAAAGUAUUAGAUAUGAAAAAAAAUAAGGUUACGAUAGCAAACCCCUUGGCAUUGAUCUUUUCACAAACAAAAGUACUGCAAGAGUGUCUACAUAUAUGAUGAAAUACAAAGUUUCCUCACAAUCAAAUAACAAGAUUUUGAAAACAUUUUGCUUUCAACCAUUAUGAAAAUUGGAAAGAUAAAUUGAUCCAUAAAACUUUCUAACCAAGAUCAUGAAGCAAAGAUAUAAUAACCAUCAUGUUAAGCAAAUGAACAAAACAAAUCCAAUUUUUGAAAUAAUGUUUUUGGUCUUGGUCAAAAUAUUGAGCAAAAUGUAGCAUCGAACAGACACGAAGAAUCAAUGGUCAAAUUCAAAUAUAACGAAACAGAAGGAGAUAAAUAACGUUGAAGUAAAGUUAGAGAAAACGCGACAAGCACUUGAACAGUUGGGAGGAAGAAAAGAAGAUAAGUUCAUCCAUAAAUCUUGUUAAGCCGACAAACAAAGAUAUAACAACAAUGUUAAAUGAAUACGCCACAGAUCAAGAGCUUGAACUUGCAAAUACUGAUGAAAAUGUAGAAAAAGACACAAAGUUUACGCAACCAACCAAAAAACAACAACUAUAUUGAACUAAAGUUAGAGAAAACGCGAUAAGCACAUAAGCAAAAAGGUCGAUAACCAAAAAGCGUAUAGAUUUCAAUUAGUUACUUAAUACAUGGAAAUAAACAAACCGAUCUUUGCAUAGUGUUAAGCAAAAGCUUCAGAACUAUGAUUAACUUCAGUCUAAUAGAUAGCAUUAAACAAAGUACUUGAACAGUUGAGAGGAAGAAAAGAAGAUAAGUUGAUCCAUAAAACUUGUUAAGCCAAUAAACAAAGAUAUAACAACAAUGUUAAACGAAUAAGCCACAGAUCAAGGGCUUGAACUUACGACUACUGAUCAAAAUGUAGAAAAAGACACAAAGUUUACGCAACCAACUAAAGAACAACAACAAUAUUGAACUAGAGUUAGAGAAAACGCGAUAAACACAUAUGCAAAAAGGUAGAUAACCAUAGCAUAUAGAUCCCAAAUAGUUACUUAAUACAUGGAAAUAAACAAACCGAUCUUAACAUAAUAUGUUAAGCAAAAGCUUCAGAACUACGAUUAACUUCAUUCUAAUUGAUAGUGUUAAACAAAAGCUUCAUAACUACGAUUAACUUCAGUCCUAAUAGAUAGUUAGAUCACGAGAUAUCCGAUAGGAAUAAUCAAAGAGGACUACCAACUUAAAGGUGAUGCCAGGGAUUUUUUUAGUUUUCUGCGGUCCUCCCGGAGCAAGUUUCUACUUUCUUCAAUGCCAUACAAGGUCGCAUAAGGUGGGGAGCGAAUGCAAGCUGGAGCAUUCAACCAGAGAUCGCUACGAAAACAGAGCAAAAAAUCACAAUAAACAUUAAACCUUGUUGUUAAGUAUUGUUUCAUAAAGCAUAUUAUAUUGUAUUGUUAAGUGAAUACAACGUUUAAAUAGAUAAAAAAAAAUGAAAAUCACAUUCCAAUUUACCAGUUUAAAUCUGAUUUGUGGUUCGAAUUAAUUGUUAUCUUCCAAACGAGAAUUGUACACAAUAACAAUCAUCUAAAAAAAACAAAAAAACUCACUUUUCGCUGCAUCCGAAUCUGAGGAGGUCAUGGAUGCUCUGAAACAUAAACAAAUUUGAAUAGAAAAUCAGUUACAGAAAUAAGUGAUUGGCAAUUAAAAACAAAACAAAAUAGAGCAUAAUCACCUCUUUGGGAUGCAGAGUGUUUUGCGAGACGGUUUCAAAGGCCGACGAGCUUUAACAACCUCAUCCUAAGUUUUAAAAAGGGGGAAAAUUCAGAUUAAAAUUGAAGAAGAACUCUAUAUCAGAGAUGAAAUCGAAAAAAACGAAGAAAACCUGUUGAUUCUCCGUCUUCUGCUUCUUGUCAAUGUGAUGUUCUUCAUUCUGUUCCUGCUUCUCCUUCUCCUCCUCCUUCUGCAUCUCCAUCGCCGUUCUUCUUUGGUUGAUGAUUAGGGCAAAAACGUUUGAUGUGAAUGUAUCUCGAGGGUUUCUUAUUUUAUAUCUAUAUGGCUACGAAAUAAACGUGAACCGUUGGAUUUCA
Molecule: long non-coding RNA, 5843 nt
Filed under: Solanum tuberosum (potato)
Lineage: Eukaryota; Viridiplantae; Streptophyta; Magnoliopsida; Solanales; Solanaceae
Description: long non-coding RNA (STUB_LNC011116)
Source: RNAcentral